This 1044-nucleotide long non-coding RNA is filed under the name Medicago truncatula (barrel medic). RNAcentral's name for it is "long non-coding RNA (MTRU_LNC001944)". Lineage: Eukaryota; Viridiplantae; Streptophyta; Magnoliopsida; Fabales; Fabaceae. The record is from RNAcentral.
UCCAUUUAGUUCAUAGAAUAAAUCUUACAUGAAAGUAUUUAUUUUUAUUGUUGUUUACCAACCUUUCAUUACUUUUUAUUUCUUAGCUAGCCUUUCAUAAUAUAUAUAUAUAUAUAUAUAUAUAUAUAUAUAUAUAUAUAUAUAGAUAGGGGGAAUAUCAAGUAAGAAUGACAAUUUAUAUGGGAAUGGUAGGAAUAAUUUUCAAAAAUUAGAUCAAAAUUAAUGUUCAAGAUUAAAUGGAGAUAUUGAUUCGCAUGUGCCUUUGUCUUUCCCAAGUCCAGAACUGAAAACUCGUUAUUUCCUUUCAUGAACCACCACUCCAAAUCUCACCCACAAGGACCACAAUAAACUAUGCCACCCAUGAACAUUCAAAACUUCGAUUUUAGUUAUUGUAGUCAAAUUUGAUUCUCAUUUGUUGCACCUCUUUCUCAUGGAAAUAGAGCGAUUGUCUAGAUUCCAUGAAUAAUAAUAAUAAUAAUAAUAAUAAUAAUAGAUCGAUUGUGUAUAAAGAGAAUACAAGAGUUUGAUCCAACUUAUUCACUUUCAAUUAUAUUCUUAAACAAAUUUGUCUAUAAGAAUGUUAUAUUUUUUAUGUUAUUUAAAAAGAUAAGAAUUUAUAUUAUAUUUUAUAUAUUGUUGGUGUCAUUAAAAGAUUAAUGUAGUUUGUUUAAAUAUGAAAAGGCAAAAUAUUUAUAGCUGUAAUAUACUUUUCGUAAUUUAUAAGUAGUAUUAAUGCUUUUCUUCUCAACGCUAUUAAAACAUUGUUAUUUAAUAGCAUUUUUCAAGCGCUAUUAUAGGAUUUCAACCUAUAGUAUCGGGGUUUUCUUAGUGCCUGAAAAACACUAUUAAAAGUGAAAAUGAAUGCUACUAAAAGCCAAAUUUGUAGUAGCACAUUGAUAAAUUCUAUUAUAGCAAUUGAUAUAUUUACCAUAUAAUUAUUAUAUGUUAAUAAUUAAUUAAAGGGGUUAAUGGUGCUUUACACCCCUGUAAUAUAGGUCAUUUUUGGUUUUCCCCUCCUGUAAAAUAUUUUUUUUUAUUUACCCC